Molecule: ribosomal RNA, 468 nt
Filed under: uncultured bacterium
Lineage: Bacteria
Description: partial 16S ribosomal RNA
Rfam family: Bacterial small subunit ribosomal RNA
Source: RNAcentral
GACGAACGCUGGCGGCGUGCUUAACACAUGCAAGUCGAACGGAAAGGCCCUGCUUUUGUGGGGUGCCCGAGUGGCGAACGGGUGAGUAACACGUGAGUAACCUGCCCUUGACUUUGGGAUAACUUCAGGAAACUGGGGCUAAUACCGGAUAGGAGCUCCUGCUGCAGGGUGGGGGUUGGAAAGUUUCGGCGGUUGGGGAUGGACGCGCGGCUUAUCAGCUUGCUGGUGGGGUAGUGGCUUACCAAGGCUUUGACGGGUAGCCGGCCUGAGAGGGUGACCGGCCACAUUGGGACUGAGAGACGGCGCAGACUCCUACGGGAGGCAGCAGUGGGGAAUAUUGCACAAUGGGCGGAAGCCUGAUGCAGCAACGCCGCGUGCGGGAUGACGGCCUUCGGGUUGUAAACCGCUUUCGCCUGUGACGAAGCGUGAGUGACGGUAAUGGGUAAAGAAGCACCGGCUAACUACGUG